UGAUGAUGUACACCCCUGUACCCCUUGACAUCCAGUACCUCGCGUCUGCUCAACUUGAACACCUCCUCAUUGAUUUUGCUCGAGGAUGGUGCCCUUUAUGUGCAUGAACUGAUGGGUGUGUUCACAACGUAGAGCAGCGCUUCUCUGUCCAGUCUCAUGUCUUUCUCUUCAGCACGGAUCAGCGAGUACUACCGAGCAAAAAUGUCCUUAUCUUCGUUUGUUUCUUCCUUUUCCUUACUACUUUUGUGGCCCCAAAUCUCACGAUGGCUCUAUGCAUGUUCUUUUUGUUGACAUGAAUUUUACCAUGAAAAUUUCCUACUAA
Long non-coding RNA from Hordeum vulgare subsp. vulgare (domesticated barley), 322 nucleotides. RefSeq lists it as uncharacterized. The record is from RefSeq and is a predicted model, not a curated record. The transcript has 2 exons. NCBI's taxonomy places the organism in Eukaryota, Viridiplantae, Streptophyta, Magnoliopsida, Poales, Poaceae.